Molecule: ribosomal RNA, 551 nt
Filed under: uncultured Oceanospirillales bacterium
Lineage: Bacteria; Pseudomonadati; Pseudomonadota; Gammaproteobacteria; Oceanospirillales
Description: bacterial SSU rRNA
Rfam family: Bacterial small subunit ribosomal RNA
Source: RNAcentral
GCUGGCGGCAGGCCUAACACAUGCAAGUCGAGCGGUAGCACAGAGAAGCUUGCUUCUUGGGUGACGAGCGGCGGACGGGUGAGUAACGCGUAGGAAUCUACCUAAUGGUGGGGGAUAGCCCAGGGAAACUUGGAUUAAUACCGCAUAAGUCCUAAGGGAGAAAGCGGGGGAUCUUCGGACCUCGUGCCAUUAGAUGAGCCUGCGUAAGAUUAUGCUAGUUGGUGAGGUAAGAGCUCACCAAGGCGACGAUCUUUAGCUGGUCUGAGAGGAUGAUCAUGCCACACUGGGACUGAGACACGGCCCAGACUCCUACGGGAGGCAGCAGUGGGGAAUAUUGGACAAUGGGGGCAACCCUGAUCCAGCCAUGCCGCGUGUGUGAAGAAGGCCUUCGGGUUGUAAAGCACUUUCAGAUGUGAGGAAAGGUUGCAGAUUAAUACUCUGCAGCUGUGACGUUAACAUCAGAAGAAGGACCGGCUAACUCCGUGCCAGCAGCCGCGGUAAUACGGAGGGUCCGAGCGUUAAUCGGAAUUACUGGGCGUAAAGCGCGCGUA